CAUGUCUGGCCCAGGAGAAGCUGUCUCCAACCUCGGACCGUGUAUAGGCUAACGGUGCCCUGGCGUCUCAAAGGGAUUAGAUCUCUCAACAAAUCCAAACAAGGUCAAGUGGCAGGAAACUGAACCCACAGGGAGGAACCUGACACAUCCUAUUGCAUUAUGCAUGUGCGAAACCCCAUGGAUCUUCAGAGCGGAUUUACAAUGUCAGUGUAUAGGGAUGAAAUCUGCAGUGAAUUUUAGGCACAAUCUUCAGCAAAACCCACAGGUACCACAUGCAAAUAGUUUUUUGCU
Long non-coding RNA from Hyla sarda, 291 nucleotides. RefSeq lists it as uncharacterized. The record is from RefSeq and is a predicted model, not a curated record. The transcript is spliced from 3 exons. Lineage: Eukaryota; Metazoa; Chordata; Amphibia; Anura; Hylidae.